CCCUCGCUUGAGCCCAGUCCAAGAUGAAAGUUUUCUGGGCUGUUUCCCUCUGCUUCCUCCUCUCACCCUCGCUCCCCCUCGGAGGAGCCGCAGAGCCAGCAAUUGUGCAAGAGGAGCCGCCGAACGCGCAGGACGCGUAUCACGGAGCGCAUGGUACGAGCCGCCGGCCCGGUGAUUAAUGAUCAGUAGCCGCUGGCCCCGCACUAACACCUAGGCUUUCCGGGCAGAGCCAGCACACCCCGCCGCCGCUGCCAGCUCGGCCGGACCGAGGAGAGGCUCUGGGGAGGACGCCGAGGCUGCUCCGGAGUGAGCCCUUAGGGGAACCAGGAAGUCACCCUGCCAUUCCAGUAACACAGUCAUGACAAAAUUAGAGCCCAACUAGGAAGUGAUCAAUUUUUUUUUUUUUUUUGGUACAUGUUAAGAAAGAAAAACAGCAGAAACAAAAGUGCACAUAACAAUUCAAGAUUUCUUUAAAAAAAAAAAAAAAGAAGAAGAAAAGAAAGUAACUUACCUGUUGGGACAUUCUGAAUAAAAGACACACGGAGAGAUACACACACACUUCUGCCCUCUCCGAGCAGCGCCACUCCCACGGACAGACCGACAGCACACGGGGUGAGGAGGAGCGGGGGCCCUUCCCUGGGAAUUCCCCCCAACAAUGCUUUCAGGUUAAAGAACUGCAAAUACUAAAGGCUAUGUGUUGGCUGAUAGUGAGAGAUGUACCGUGGAAAUUAAGGAGGACACCAACCAGGUCUAAAUGGCACCCAUGACAGUCAAGACAAUAUGGGAAUGGGAAUGCCUCCACCUCAUCAGAACUCAUACACAGAUUAAGAAACUCCCAUGCAGUCUACAGUGUUAAAAUAGACUGGAGAACUGAAGGAAAAGGUGACAUUUUGAAAGUGAUUUCUGAUGUUUAUGAUGUUUAACAUUUAAACUGUAUUUUCCCAGAACUUCAGUAAAAUCCAACUUAUUGAUUGUUGCAAAUAAACAUCUUCUUACUUUGGAGCUGAUACUUGCUAAGCAUUUCAUAGCGCAAAUUGAGUAAUCUGUUCAAAAAAAAAUGUUAGCCAUAUGUAUUCUAAACCUAUACUACAGAUGCUGAUGUUUUGGGUAAUAAUUAAAAGUUGUAAUUACAGAGAA
Long non-coding RNA from Pipistrellus kuhlii (Kuhl's pipistrelle), 1137 nucleotides. RefSeq lists it as uncharacterized. NCBI's taxonomy places the organism in Eukaryota, Metazoa, Chordata, Mammalia, Chiroptera, Vespertilionidae. The transcript is spliced from 4 exons. The record is from RefSeq and is a predicted model, not a curated record.